Molecule: long non-coding RNA, 211 nt
Organism: Xenopus laevis (African clawed frog)
Lineage: Eukaryota; Metazoa; Chordata; Amphibia; Anura; Pipidae
Exons: 3
Source: RefSeq, a predicted model, not a curated record
CCCACGGACAGUGACCAGGACCAGGACCUUGAUCCUCUGCAGCCCCAGGAAGAGGGUGAGGCCGCAGAUAGCCCUAGAGGCCCACAAGCUCAAGAACAUCGAGCUCCCCGGCGCGCCCAGUCGCCAGCCGUGAUACCUGUGGUGCCCCCCAGACGUCAUGCUGCUGAAGCGGGUGCUGCUGCUCCUGCUGCCGAAGCGGGUGCUGCUGCUC